CACCUUUGACUAGCAGGCUGAACCAGGUGAGAGUAGCUGAUGGGUCUCAAACCCUUGGUCAGUUAGAGACUUCCCCUGCAUUUGAAGACAGGCCUCAGCAGAUUGAGUGGAUAAGACCAAUAGUGGGUCCAAUGGUCAAGAAGGCGAUUUCUGCACUUGUUGUAGAGGGAAGUGAGGGGCAGGUGGGGCUCUUCAAACUAGGAAGCUAGCCCUCUGCAGCCUUGGGGGAUAUCUUCAGGAGAAGAAAAGGCUAAGGAGUAAACAUUACACAAAUCUGGAGUCCCUUAGAUGGUUGGACGGCACCAACAUUAUUUUUGAAAUUUGUUUUCGCUUUUCAAAUUUCUUCACUUCCUCCAGACUUCUGCUCUGCGUAACAAUUUUCUUGAUGAGGAGGUGUACAGAACUCAAGAGCUUGCUACUAUUUUGCAACAUUUCCACUGGUCUUGAUCAAGGCAUUGCCCAGCUGUAGAUUUUGAAGGGACUUUUCUUCUUCUCUUGGACGAAUGUAGCUACCUUUGCUUUUUUAUGUGUGUUGGAGAACAUGAGAUGGAGAAAAAUGGCAGACUAUAGUUUGUAACAUGGUUGGGAAAAGUGUGCCCCUUCCCUCCUCUGCUAUUGUUGUAUUCGUUGUCAAAUAAAUGAAAACCAAUAAAAAAUAUUUUAAAACAAGAGAAAAAUGUAUACUACAUGGGGCAUGUCUUCAUUUGCCCCAACAGUUGCUUGUCCCGUGCUGGUAAGAGGUGUCAGUGUCUUGUCAUCAACUACUGUGUGAACCUAUCUGGUUCCUCACUUCCCUACACUAUAAAUGAAGUCUGGCUUGACCCAGUUCCCCAGGACAGUUUCCCAUGAAUGGCAGACACUUCCCACUUCCCCAAAUUUCGGGUUUUGAGGGUCCCUCCUCCAGCCCUUCCACCUGAGAUCCUCUGAGGGUGAUGUUGGGGACAGACAGCUGGUCCUUGUGGAUGCAAAGCACAUACAGGUCUGCUACUGACAGCAGCCAGAUUAAAGUCCAGCCUCUGUGAUUUAUAUUCCAGAAGGAGAAAUCAGAUUUUUCUGAAGGUGAAACAGGCAAUCAGCCUGAUUGCUAAUUAGCACCUCGGCCUUAAAAUGCUAGCAUGGGUGAUGUCAGGAUGAAACCCUGCCUGUGCCAGUAGAGAGAUACCUUAAGUGGCAGGCUAAAAGGCAUUUUUUUCCCAUUCAGGGAGGAAAUAACGGUAUUUCAGGUUGUCAGCGCUGUGAUUGAUCAGGGAGACAUUAUGCAGAUAAGCUUUUUGCAUUUUGGUUGACAUUGUGCUGGAAUUUACAUCUUGCUGGGCUGAGUGUUUUGCAGACAGCUGGAAAUAGGAAUAUACUAUACCUUGAAGUGUAUACCAGUGUCAGAUUUGUUGGCUGCAAUCCACCUCCCCCCCUUUGGGCUUGCAGAACAGCCUGCAUUGUACUUUUCCUUUCCGACAUGCCUCCCACAUAAGGAUUCAUCCCAAUUUAUUGAUUUCAGCAGUACUGGGCCCUUAAGCCAGGACAGGACUAGUUUCCUACUGCUGGAAUCUGGCAGCUCAGGGAACAAAACUAGCAUGGGUUAUAGAUGGAGCCUGGCAGUUCCUGGAGGGGGUGGGCAAAGAUGAGCAUCCUCAGAAGUUUGUUGGCUUUUCAGAAGAGAUGGACCCUUCUUUGCAACUAAAGAAAACAAAUGCCUUCUGAAAAUGGCCCUCAGCUGUGCUUAUAUUUUGGGAGGAAACACAAAUAGGGAGAGAAAUGUUUGCCUGCUGAUGGCUGCAGUGUGGUCCCUCACCCUCUCCUAAUUCUUUCUUCACAAAUGCUGUUACAAAAGGAGAGGAGCGGGAAAUGCAACACUGCAGUGAAAAACGCAUUUAUUUUCUUUUUUACAAGAAUGUUCUUUCUUGAUACAACCUUCCUUUUGCUGGGUUGAAAACACCCCUGCAAAAUGCUGGUUGCAGCUCUGCUUCUCAGACCUCCAUAUUGGUUUCAUGACACAGAAUGCAUACCUCGGUUUGAACAAUAAAUUGUGGUUGGUUGACAGCAGUACUGCAUUGGGAACAGUUCAUAAUACUCCUCUGGGUGGGGAGAUCAGUAUGUGCAUAUGUGUGCGCCAAUUAAAUGCACUGCACUCAAAGGAAUCCUGAAGCAAUUAUGUGAUCUGACUAAGAUUUGCUUUUUGUUUAAUGUUUUAAUCAAUGCACCAUUACACUCAUGCACAUCAGGAAAAAGAAGCACCGGGCUGAAAACCGUAGCAAGUGACAGAUGUCCAGUGCUUGGAACAAAGUGUAGACAUCAGAAACAGAAUUAUGGUGAACCACUAAUGUAUCAGUGACACUCUGCAAACAAGAGUGCAGAAUUCAGUCCCCUCAAAUACAGGGAGAGAGUCAGAUGGGAAGAACUUUGUAAUAAUUACAUGGCAUUUUGUGUGACUAUUUAUUUUGUCGUUUGUUUGUUUAUUACAGUGGUACCUCUAGUUACGGACUUGAUCCAUUCCAGGGUGCCAUUUGCACCCUGAAAAGUCCAUAACUAGAGCGCCGCUUCUGCGCACACCUGUGCGGUGAAACCCGGAAGUAUACACUUCCAGGUUUUCUGCGUUCACAAGCUGAAAAGAUGCAACAUGAACACGAGGUAUGACUGUAUAAGCAUUCCACUCUUUAAUGAAAGGUCACUGUGCCUUCAAAAUAAAGUAUAAUACAUUAAGGGCAUAUGGAAGUAUUUAGCAGUCCCUGGCAACUGAUGUCAGGGUCCAGGUUCCAGACUCUUCCCUCCAGAGGGUUGGGACAGUAGGAUGUGCAGGUGGAUUUAUGAGACAGCUGGUGUUAAGAUGCCUACUCACCGUUUGCUAGGCAUCUAAACAGCUCCAAGAUGAAGGUGUCUGGAGCAACAAAACAUAAUAGACAAAAGCAUUUCCAUUUGGUAAAGGGCGCAGUCACUGCCCUGGGUGAAAGCCUACAGUUUCCCUGAAUAUAAGGGUCCAAACUAAGUCAGCUGCACUUAGAACCCAUUGAAAUGUGAAAAAGUAGUCACCAAAGUCCCAUUGAUUUCAGUUGGGCUAAGUGUUAUUCUGGAUGAAGCUGAGAGUCAACCUCCCCUCCUUCUUAGCUUUCAGGAAGUAGCUUCCCUUUCUACACUAGAAAAUUAAAUGUGCAAAUGUUUUUAAUGUGUCUUUCCCCUUUGUAAAAAAAAACAAAAAACAGCUGAGAAGUGGGUGGGGGAGAGUAUAAUCAGGACAUAUGAGUAAAGGCAAUAGAAAGUGAUAGAACGCAUUGCUACCGUUUGUGGAGUAGAAGGGAACAAUGUUAAAGAAUAUAAAACUGUGUGGGGAAAACAACGGCGGUAUAAACAGUACAAUGAGAAUGAUUGGAAGACUCGUUUUGUCAGAAGUCUUUUUUUAUUUAAGUGUUUAUUUAAGUAUUAAUUAGGAAGAUUAAGUUUUUUAUGCACGUAAAUCUGCUUUUCUUUCUUUUUUCUGUAUUUUCUUCUUUUCUUUUUUCUUAAUUCUUUUUUCUUUAAUUUUCUUUUUGUAGUAUGAGAUUGUAAAUUCUUUGUAUAUGUGUGUAGUUUAAAUUAAUAAAGUUUUUUUUUAAAAAAAAGAACACAUUGCUUUGCAUAUAGAAGGUCUGACGCUCAGUCUCUUUCAUCUCCAGGCAAAUGGUAGGGAAGGGCCUUGUCUGAAAUUCCGAAGAGCUUCUGCCAGCCAGACUAGACAAUACUGGUGUCAGAGACAUGGCCGGCAGAGAGGAGUCUGCAGAGAGGGAAGGAAGAGGCAGAAGAAAACAGGAACUUGAUUCUUUUGCACAACAAAAGUGAAGUAAGCCCUUCUCGCUCUGGAAUUUUCGCAGCAGCACAGAGAUGCAGAAGCAGGAGACAGGUGGUAGGAGGGGGUUAGAUUCAACUCCAGAGGAGGAGGAAUUGGCUGCACCUGAGUCUCCAAGAAGUAGGAGGCGGAGCAAGCGAUUACAGCAAAGGAAGACCAGCUGGAAGCUGAGGCGGGCCUGGGGUAUAUCUGGCUUUGGGAAGGGCAGGAAGCCAGUCAAGUCAACUGACUCCGACAGUGAGGAAUGAGUUGUGGGAGGCUCGGAUUGCUGAAAGUCUGUUAUUGCUAAAUAAACC
This is a non-coding RNA of Podarcis lilfordi (Lilford's wall lizard), 4110 nucleotides long. NCBI's taxonomy places the organism in Eukaryota, Metazoa, Chordata, Lepidosauria, Squamata, Lacertidae. The record is from the annotation of a GenBank genome assembly.